ACGGAAGGCAGCAGUGGGGAAUAUUGGACAAUGGGGGAAACCCUGAUCCAGCGACGCCGCGUGAGUGAAGAAGUAUUUCGGUAUGUAAAGCUCUAUCAGCAAGGAAGAAAAUGACGGUACUUGACUAAGAAGCCCCGGCUAACUACGUGCCAGCAGCCGCGGUAAUACAUAGGGGGCAAGCGUUAUCCGGAUUUACUGGGUGUAAAGGGAGCGUAGACGGCAUAGCAAGUCUGAAGUGAAAUGCAUGGGCUCAACCCAUGAACUGCUUUGGAAACUGUUAAGCUAGAGUGCAGGAGAGGUAAGUGGAAUUCCUAGUGUAGCGGUGAAAUGCGUAGAUAUUAGGAGGAACACCAGUGGCGAAGGCGGCUUACUGGACUGUAACUGACGUUGAGGCUCGAAAGCGUGGGGAGCAAACAGGAUUAGAUACCCUGGUA
RNAcentral lists this ribosomal RNA (434 nucleotides) under uncultured Lachnospiraceae bacterium. RNAcentral's name for it is "partial 16S ribosomal RNA". It matches the Rfam family "Bacterial small subunit ribosomal RNA", at positions 341 to 792 of the family's 1533-position model. The record is from RNAcentral. Lineage: Bacteria; Bacillati; Bacillota; Clostridia; Lachnospirales; Lachnospiraceae.